CCUACGGGAGGCAGCAGUGGGGGAUAUUGCACAAUGGGGGGAACCCUGAUGCAGCGACGCCGCGUGGGUGAAGAAGCGCCUCGGCGCGUAAAGCCCUUUUAGUAGGGAAGUAAAUGACGGUAUCUGAAGAAGAAGCUCCGGCUAACUACGUGCCAGCAGCCGCGGUAAUACGUAGGGGGCAAGCGUUAUCCGGAUUUACUGGGUGUAAAGGGGGCGUAGGCGGAGUAGCAAGACAGGAGUGAAAGCCUGGGGCCCAACCCCAGAACUGCCGUUGAAACUGGGUGGCUGGAGUGCAGGAGGGGCAGGCGGAAUUCCUGGUGUAGCGGUGAAAUGCGUAGAUAUCACGAGGAACACCGAUGGCGAAGGCGGCCUGCUGGACUGCAACUGACGUUGAGGCCCGAAAGCGUGGGGAGCAAACAGGAUUAGAUACCCCAGUAGUC
This 440-nucleotide ribosomal RNA is filed under the name uncultured bacterium. Its description in RNAcentral is "partial 16S ribosomal RNA". It matches the Rfam family "Bacterial small subunit ribosomal RNA", at positions 338 to 795 of the family's 1533-position model. The record is from RNAcentral.